UGUCCCUUACCCUCAGGUAGGUGGAUAGGUCUGGGUUAGUGGUUAGGCUUAAGAGGUUAGGUUUAGGGGUCGUUGUCUCUGACCCUCAGGUAGGUGGAUAGGUCUGGGUUAGUGUAGAGUUCAAGGUCCGGGGUUAGGUUUAGGGGUUAGUGGUUAUUGUCUCUUACCCUCAGGUAGGUGGAUAGGUCUGGGUUAGUGUAGAGUUCAAGGUCCGGGGGUAGUGGUUAGGCUUAGGGGUUGUUGUCUCUUACCCCCAGGUAGGUUGAUGGGUCUGGAUUAGUGGUUAGGGGUUGUAGUCUCUUACCCUCAGGUAGGUUGAUGGGUCUGGUAUAGGGUUAGGGGUUGUAGUCUCUUACCCCCAGGUAGGUUGAUGGGUCUGGUAUAGGGUUAGGGGUUGUUGUCUCUUACCCCCAGGUAGGUUGAUGGGUCUGGUAUAGGGUUAGGGGUUGUUGUCUCUUACCCCCAGGUAGGUUGAUGGGUCUGGUAU
Oncorhynchus keta (chum salmon) is the source of this 487-nucleotide long non-coding RNA. RefSeq lists it as uncharacterized. The record is from RefSeq and is a predicted model, not a curated record. The transcript has 4 exons. Lineage: Eukaryota; Metazoa; Chordata; Actinopteri; Salmoniformes; Salmonidae.